This 1189-nucleotide long non-coding RNA is filed under the name Zonotrichia albicollis (white-throated sparrow). RNAcentral describes it as "lncRNA (ENSZALG00000006090.1)". Lineage: Eukaryota; Metazoa; Chordata; Aves; Passeriformes; Passerellidae. The record is from RNAcentral.
ACACUUUUAGUGUAUUUUUUUUUCCCUUUUCAUGAGACAGAAUUAAUUCCUGUAGUCUCAGCCCUUCAGAAUCAUGGCAAUCUCAUUUGGGAAUGCCACAGUAAUGGCGAACAGCAGGAGUGCAUGGACACAGUGCCACCCUCCCAGGGACUGCUCCAACUUGUGGAGACUCUGUCAGGACAAGGGGGUUGAUCCAGGGGGAAGGUGGGAUCACCUGUCCCAAACAGCAUCCAAGCAAAAUGAAAAACAGGAAUUCAGAUGUGUUCCAGUAGAAAAAACUGGGAAAGAAGCUGUUUUCUAAGCAAGGCAAACAAAGCUUUGCUCUGUUCCUCAUCACUUAUGAGAGACAUUUAGUUGUUGCAGAUACUCAUAACUGUGAGCAAUUCCCAUUACUGUCAUUUUCUGGAGCCUGCACUGAUUUCCUCUCCUCUUAACAGAGAAAUAUCAGAAGUUCUUUUUGGCUUUAUGUUGAUCUCAUUGACAACAAGGUUCAGUUAAUUUGCUGCAGCAUCUGCAAGGCUAAAUGGAAAAGGAGAGAGAGAGCUUCAGCCUGCAAGGGCUGUGUUCUCUCCCAGCUUGUUGUGACUGACUGAUCUUUUUGGAAGCUUCUGGGUUCCUGGCACUGAGCUUCAAAGAUGUGCUGCUGCUGGGGAUUACAGCAUGGAUGGCACUGGGAUCUGCUAAUCCUUCAUCCCCACUGCAACCUCUGCUGUUCCUAUUCAAACAGCAUUUUGGAAAGGUUAAUAAAGGCAAAACAGCUCUGCUGCUUGGGGCUUCAGUCAUUGACUUUAAACCAGUAGGAGCUCAGGAACUGAAUUUAAAUCCCAGCUUGGAAGAGAUCUCUCCAUCAGGGCAUUUCUUCAGGACAGAAAUGAUACACGGACUGAUCCCCACGGAUCAUCCCAUUGAUUUUGGCUGCCAUUGGGAAAGAUGCUUCCUCUUCCUCCCAGACUUUAAGCAUCUGUGCAUGUCCUGCUCAUCAGCAAACAUUCCAGCAGAUGCCAAGCAUCCCUCGGACUCUCACCACGCUGAGAGCCACACACAAGCUCAGGUGCUCCACUGAGCCAGGGCCUCUCUAAACAAGAAGAGACCAUUAGUUUUGGCUCAUUAGCUUGACUGAGCUGACUAUUAAAUCCCACUCCUCCCGCCACUUUCUGUAAAAUAAACUUAGAAAUGAGCCAUCUUUGCA